CAUUUUAAAAUUUUAAAUUUAAAUUUUAAAUUUUUAAAUUUAAAAUUUUUAAUGUUCGAUGUCAACAUUUUAAAAUUUAAAAUUUCACAUUUCAAAUUUCAAAAUUUCAAAUUUUAUAUUUCAAAUUUAAAAUUUUAAAUUUCAAUUUUUUUAGAAUUUUAAAAUUUAUAAUAUUGAUUUUUAAAUUUUAAAUUUUAAACUUUAAAAUUUUAAAUUUAAAAUUUUCAAAAUUUAAAAUUUAAAGUUAAAAAUUUUAAAUUUUAAAUUAUAAAUUUUAAAAUUUGAUUUUAAAACUUUAAAUUUUAAAAUUUAAAAUCUAAAAUUUAAAUUUUGGAUUUCAAAAUUUUAAAAUUUAAAUUUAGAUUUUCUGUUUCAAAUUUUCAAUUUUCAAAUUUGAAAUUCAAAAUUUUUUAAAUUUUAAAUUUUAAAUUUUAAAUUUUAAAUUUUAAAUUUAAAAAUUCAAAUUUAGGUUUUAAAUUUCAAAUUUUAAUUUAUAUUUUAUUUUUAAAAUUUAAAAACUAAAAUUUUAAAAUUUUAAAAUUAAAAAUUAAUAUGUUACGUUUUAAUAUGAAUCCAAGUAGUUUAAAAAUUGAAGUCGUAAAACUUUUUAGAGUUAUAAGAUUCCCUAUUUCAUCUAGACCAAAAUCAUAGUUAUGAACUCUAUGGAGAUUUUUUUUUCUGUAUAUCCAAAUAGACCCUUACAAGCACCGGAAGUAACUACUAUACUCUCAAUAAUACAUG
RNAcentral lists this long non-coding RNA (741 nucleotides) under Ananas comosus (pineapple). RNAcentral describes it as "long non-coding RNA (ACOM_LNC017858)". Lineage: Eukaryota; Viridiplantae; Streptophyta; Magnoliopsida; Poales; Bromeliaceae. The record is from RNAcentral.